Molecule: long non-coding RNA, 587 nt
Filed under: Pandoravirus dulcis
Description: putative ncRNA
Source: RNAcentral
GUCGCCUCCAGUCGCGCGGCACGCCGGCGAGUCCCUCCCACGCGUGCCGAAGGAAGUACCGGUAGGCCGCAUAGGUGGCCUCGUUGGCAAAGCAAUAGGCGCGGCCCCCUUGGUGGCCGUCUCGGUCUCUGCUGGCGUCGCCCCUGUCCUUGUCUUCUUUUUCCUUUUGUUCUUCUUCUUCUUUUCCCUUUUUUUCUCGUGUCUCGUUGGGUGCGUUGUGGUCGUCGGCGGCGUCUUGGACUUUGCGCCCUCCCUCGGUGCCGGGCGGGCUUGCGCCGUCGCCAUAACUGUCCUCGUCGAUGCACACCACAUAGAGCGGUGACGGGUCGUCGGCCUUUUUCUGCGCCACGCUCGCCUCGACAAAGCAGGCCGUCAGUGUGGCAAAGUCGGGCGACGCGCCCGCGGCGGCGCGCGGUCUGACGCUCGCCAAGAGGGACCGCGACCACGACACGCACAGAUCGCACAUGACGAGCGUGCACAGGAUCUCGGGCGUCGAGCGCGCCAGUUCGAGGGCGGCCGUGCGGGCCGCCUCCAGCGCCGGGCCUCGCAGAUCGGUCGUCGCCACGAGGCGGUCGCGUAUGCCGUUG